GGCAGGUCAGCCAGUGGAAGGCCCUUUCCCUGUCUGAACCUGCUUGCGUGCUCAGUCGCUACAGUUGUUUGGCUCUUUGCGACUCUACGGACUGUAGCCCGCCAGGCUCCUCUGUCCACGGGGAUUUUCCAGGCAAGAACACUGCGGAGGGUUGCCGUGCCCUCCUCCCGGGGAUCUUCCCGACCCAGGGAUCAAACCUGAGUCUCCUGCAUUACAGGCAGAUUCUUUACCUCCUGAGCCGCCGAGGAAGCCUGCCUGAACCAGCUUCUGCAACUAUAAAAGAGGGCUCCGAGAACUAUCCUCCCCAGCCCAUGAGAACCCAGAUGACAACUCGUCCAUCAGGAGAGUAACAGGAACCCCAAACCAUCCCCUGUACUCAUUUCUCAUAUCUGCUAGGACUUGGCCAGGAAAUGGGAAGGGGGCUGGCGCUUAUGGAGGUCCUCCUGUAUGCCCAGCUCUGCAGUCCCAUUUUGUAAGUCAUCACCACCUCUGCCUGCCCCGCCCCACCCCACUGUACAAAUACAGAGACUGAAGUUUCGAGAGGAGGAAGGCCUCGAGGAUCUGGCUUCUCACCCAGUGCAUCCUGAGACCAAGCCUGGCUUGAGUCCAGCUCCUAGACCCAGCCCUGCGGCAUGUGGGAUCCUAGUCCCCCCACUAGGGAUGGAACCCGUGCUCCCAGCAAUGGAAGUGCAGAUUCUCAACCACUGGACCGCCAGGCAAGUCCCCACUCAUUU
Molecule: long non-coding RNA, 734 nt
Organism: Bubalus bubalis (water buffalo)
Lineage: Eukaryota; Metazoa; Chordata; Mammalia; Artiodactyla; Bovidae
Exons: 3
Source: RefSeq, a predicted model, not a curated record